This 205-nucleotide long non-coding RNA is filed under the name Hordeum vulgare. RNAcentral's name for it is "long non-coding RNA (HVUL_LNC005332)". The record is from RNAcentral. Lineage: Eukaryota; Viridiplantae; Streptophyta; Magnoliopsida; Poales; Poaceae.
GCCCCGGGUAUUCCUACCUAGGGCUUCGCCGCACCGGCCAUCGCUCCCCCUCUCCACCUUGUGCACGUGCGCCUGUCACCGGUCCUGCGUGCCACGGCUGGCCCGAGCGUCGCCACGCUCGCCCCGCCCGCGCACGACGGCCCAGCCUUCCACGACGCCCCUCCACGCCUCUAAUCCGUCUCAACGCGGCAUCUGUUUCGACAAC